This 759-nucleotide ribosomal RNA is filed under the name Triticum aestivum (bread wheat). Its description in RNAcentral is "partial small subunit ribosomal RNA". Lineage: Eukaryota; Viridiplantae; Streptophyta; Magnoliopsida; Poales; Poaceae. The record is from RNAcentral.
AUGCAAGAUAUGUUGAAUGCAACUUCCUUACGGCAGGUGUUGGAUACCUACUGUGAAAAUUCAGGUCAAAUGGUAAGCCUGGGUAAAUCUAGUAUUUUCUUCAGUCCAAAUACAAAUGCUCAAACUAGAUAUGAGAUUAGUCAGGAACUUCACAUUGCUACAGAAGCCUUGUCUGACAAAUAUUUGGGCCUUCCUGCACUAGUUGGGGCUGAUAGGAGUGAUUGUUUUAAACACUUUUGUGAAAAAAUAAAAAAACUCUUAAAAGGUUGGAUGGAGAAACAAUUAUCUAUAGGAGGAAAGGAAAUUCUAUUAAAAGCUGUUGCUCAAGCCAUACCAGUUUUUGCUAUGUCUGUCUUUUGCCUACCAAAAGGUGUAUGUAAAGAUAUUACAGAUGUUAUUGCUCAGUUUUGGUGGGGAGAUGAAGAAGAUGAUAAAAAGUUACAUUGGUUUGCAUGGUGGAAAUUAUGUAUCCCAAAAUGUGAUGGAGGAAUGGGUUUCAGAGAUUUAUAUUCCUUUAACCUGGCUUUACUUGCUAAACAAUGCUGGAGAUUGAUCACAAAUCCAGAGUCAGUUUGUGCAAGAAUUUUGAAGGCAAAAUAUUAUCCCUCAACAGAUUUAUUGCAAGCAGGGCCGAAGAGAGGCUCUUCCUUCACUUGGCAAAGCAUUGUUGCUGGACUGAGUACUUUCAAGCGGGGGUAUAUGGAGAAUUGGCUCAGGAGAAAAGGUGAAUAUUUGGGAGGAUCCAUGGAUUCCAUCUAG